This 478-nucleotide ribosomal RNA is filed under the name uncultured bacterium. RNAcentral's name for it is "bacterial SSU rRNA". It matches the Rfam family "Bacterial small subunit ribosomal RNA", at positions 28 to 507 of the family's 1533-position model. The record is from RNAcentral.
GAUGAACGCUAGCGGCAGGCCUAACACAUGCAAGUCGAGGGGUAGAGUUCUUCGGGACUUGAGACCGGCGCACGGGUGCGUAACGCGUAUGCAAUCUACCUUAUACAGGGGAAUAGCCCAGAGAAAUUUGGAUUAAUGCCCCAUAGUGUUAUCGAAUCGCAUGGUUUGAUAACUAAAGUUCCAACGGUAUAAGAUGAGCAUGCGUCCCAUUAGUUAGUUGGUAAGGUAACGGCUUACCAAGACAAUGAUGGGUAGGGGUCCUGAGAGGGAGAUCCCCCACACUGGUACUGAGACACGGACCAGACUCCUACGGGAGGCAGCAGUGAGGAAUAUUGGUCAAUGGGCGCAAGCCUGAACCAGCCAUGCCGCGUGCAGGAAGAAGCAUCUAUGGUGUGUAAACUGCUUUUAUACAGGAAGAAACAACUCUACGUGUAGAGUCUUGACGGUACUGUAGGAAUAAGGAUCGGCUAACUCCGUG